Molecule: small nucleolar RNA, 91 nt
Filed under: Capsicum baccatum
Lineage: Eukaryota; Viridiplantae; Streptophyta; Magnoliopsida; Solanales; Solanaceae
Description: Small nucleolar RNA snoR26
Rfam family: Small nucleolar RNA snoR26
Source: Rfam by way of RNAcentral
AAGGCAUUAAUGAUGAAUAAUCCAAUUUGUUAUCCUUGCACUUUGAUUGUUAAAUGAAGAUAAUAAUAGGGAAACAUUAUAUGAGAUGCUU